UUUCCAAUUCAGUGGGCUGCUACAAUCCGGCCUUUAUCACGGGCUGCUCUGGUUCCCAUGUCCCUUCUGGGCCAGUGCCCGAGUUUGUGGUUUGACAUGAGGGCUUUAACCCCUUCCUGUGCCAGCCCCUCACUGUGGUGGCCGGGAAGAAAAGGCCUUCCAGGAACCGGCAUGGAAAGUUACAGCUCUUGGGGUCUCAUCAAAGUGGGAGGUCCCUGUAGAAACCAGGGUUUGGCUUUGUCACUUUUGAGAAUGAAGAUGUUGUGGAGAAAGUCUGUGAGAUUCAUUUCCAUGAAAUCAAUAAUAAAAUGGUAGAAUGUAAGAAAGCUCAGCCGAAAGAAGUCAUGUUCCCACCUGGGACAAGAGGCCGGGCCCGGGGACUGCCUUACACCAUGGACGCAUUCAUGCUUGGCAUGGGGAUGCUGGGAUAUCCCAACUUCGUGGCAACCUAUGGCCGUGGCUACCCUGGAUUUGCUCCAAGCUAUGGCUAUCAGUUCCCA
Molecule: small RNA, 500 nt
Filed under: Pongo abelii (Sumatran orangutan)
Lineage: Eukaryota; Metazoa; Chordata; Mammalia; Primates; Hominidae
Description: processed transcript
Source: RNAcentral